CGAUAUCGACGAGUUUGAUCCUGGCUCGAGGAUGAACGCUAGCGGCAGGCCUAAUACAUGCAAGUCAAGGGGAUAGCAAUAUCACCGGCGGACGGGUGCGUAACGCGUACACAACGUGCCCAAGGGCGGAGGAAAGCGGCGGGAAACUGCCGGUAAUACUCCAUGGUGUUGUUGAGUGGCAUCACUUAACAACUAAAGUACAAGCGCCCUUGGAUCGGUGUGCGUUCGAUUAGCUAGUUGGCGGGGUAACGGCCCACCAAGGCUUCGAUCGAUAGGGGGUGUGAGAGCAUGACCCCCCCACACGGGUACUGAGACACGGACCCGACUCCUACGGGAGGCAGCAGUAAGGAAUAUUGGACAAUGGGCGGAAGCCUGAUCCAGCCAUGCCGCGUGAAGGACGAAGGCGCUCAGCGUUGUAAACUUCUUUUUGGAUGGGAACAAUAACUCCGACUUGUCGGAACUUGAGGGUACCAUCAGAAUAAGCACCGGCUAACUCCGUG
Molecule: ribosomal RNA, 500 nt
Filed under: uncultured bacterium
Lineage: Bacteria
Description: bacterial SSU rRNA
Rfam family: Bacterial small subunit ribosomal RNA
Source: RNAcentral